This is a long non-coding RNA of Mangifera indica (mango), 1428 nucleotides long. RefSeq lists it as uncharacterized. The record is from RefSeq and is a predicted model, not a curated record. NCBI's taxonomy places the organism in Eukaryota, Viridiplantae, Streptophyta, Magnoliopsida, Sapindales, Anacardiaceae. The transcript has 2 exons.
AACCCUUUUUGAAUUACUCAAAUGCUAUCAGAAGUGAAAUUUUUCAGAAUGAAGAAGCUGCAGGGAUUAACACAAAAACAUCAUAUACAUGCCCAUUUCAAUAAGUUCCAUGGAAUCAAGGGUAAAUGAUCUUCUUCUAAAAUCUGUGGACAUUUGUAAAGAGAAAGAGAUUAAUUAGAGCAUACACAAUACAUUAAAACUUGAUUAAGUAGACUUAAUCAACCAAAUUAACCACAAACUAGGCACAUCCACGAUUCAUAUUGAGAUACAGUCUACCACAACGUUCAAGUAUUUUAGAAUUCUGAGGAUCAGGAAGGCAUGAUGUGUAGCCUAUACCUCUCACGCAGUUAACUACUGGAGCAGAAGGCCGUAAAGAUGCUGCUAUGUUUAGACUUGUCGCUGCUUGUUCAGACUCAAACAGUAACUCAACGUUUUGGUCGUCUGCAAUCAGGCAAUCUUCGAUGGCACCAUUGCAAAACUGGAAGGUAGUGCUGCUGGUGUUGCUCUUGGGCGAAGAACUGGCUAUAGCUUGGUCUGGGUUGAACAGUAUCAUCACUAGGAUCAGUAAACCGGAACCUCCCAUCAAGUUUUUCGACAUGUUCAUCUUCUUCCUAAGGUAGCUCGAUCACUCUACUUCUGUGAAGUUUUCUGGCUGAGUGGUAUAUAGUGCGAAAAUUUUUGUCCGCUUGUCUAUGGGGAAUCAAAUCAAAAGAAACGUACAUAUGGAAAUGUACAUGGUUGAGAAAAGAAGAUGGAGACAGAAGAUCAGAGAAAACAAAAAUAUCCUUAGUGCAAUUGCACGAAAUAUACAUUAUUGGAGGGGGGACCUAAAGAUGAAGGCACCAUGUUUUGGCGUCUUGGUUCCUUUCCAAAGACUUAAUUGAAGGUUGCCAUUGAUCUUUAAGAAACUUUUAAGUCUUGGAAGGAUUUGGCCAGCUUUGUCUUUGUGAUUAUGUGGUGAAAGAGGCUAAACGAAGGACUGGACUGCAGAAGACAGAUUCAAAUGGUAGCCAUGACUUGGACUCACAGGCAACACUGUUAGUGAUAAAAAAUGUCUACUUGUUCAGUGGAGCUCAGCAAUAAUGGCUACAACAACACCGCCAUGAUGAUGCACGACCAACACAUUGAAUUCUUAAUGGAUUCCCCCGUCAGCAGCAGCUUGGCUAUUACAUUUUACAAAGCCUUCGACGCUUGCCACAGGAUCUCCUAAUCAUCCGGCUGUAACUGUGGCCGAGGAAAGCCAUCCAGCAGCUGUCUUCCCAAACCAAAUUCCCCCCCAAAGAUUCAAGAACAUUGUAGUCAUGUAUACAAGCGAAUGGUAAUCAUCUCUGGAAAUAGUCCUGCAUCAAUUGCCUCAAAAGUUAUUCGAUUUCAACUCAUUUGAAAAAACUCAAAUUCAAAUUUGAAUUUAAACUAAAUUUUGAGUUC